UACGUAGGGGGCGAGCGUUAUCCGGAAUUACUGGGUGUAAAGGGAGCGUAGACGGCGAAGUAAGCCUGAAGUGGAAGCCCGCGGCCCAACCGCGGAACUGCUUUGGGAACUGCUUAGCUGGAGUAUGGGAGGGGUAAGCGGAAUUCCUGGUGUAGCGGUGAAAUGCGUAGAUAUCAGGAGGAACACCGGUGGCGAAGGCGGCCUGCUGGACUGCAACUGACGUUGAGGCCCGAAAGCGUGGGGAGCAAACAGG
Molecule: ribosomal RNA, 253 nt
Filed under: uncultured bacterium
Lineage: Bacteria
Description: partial 16S ribosomal RNA
Rfam family: Bacterial small subunit ribosomal RNA
Source: RNAcentral